Molecule: long non-coding RNA, 319 nt
Organism: Neopsephotus bourkii (Bourke's parrot)
Lineage: Eukaryota; Metazoa; Chordata; Aves; Psittaciformes; Psittacidae
Exons: 2
Source: RefSeq, a predicted model, not a curated record
AUUCAUACCACCAUACAACCUGCAAAGACAAGGUUUCAGUGGUCACUGGUUUAUGUCCUUCAUGCAGCUAACAUGGGAAAGACUGAACCAUCCUUUGUGAGCACAAUUACACCAUUGUUAACCUCUGGUUAAAGCGGACCAUGACAAGUAAGAAGCUGGGUAGCAGUCAACUUACAUACUUCCAAGCCCUACAGUCAAUCACAUUCAGCAUCUUCACUCAAGAGGGAGCUGGCAAUGCUGCAAACUGACCUGCAUAACCAUCUUGCAGUAGUUUUACCUUUAGCAGUUUCCUUCCUAGAGCAGAAAAGGGUUACUGCAG